RNAcentral lists this ribosomal RNA (452 nucleotides) under uncultured Sphingobacteriales bacterium. Its description in RNAcentral is "bacterial SSU rRNA". It matches the Rfam family "Bacterial small subunit ribosomal RNA", at positions 930 to 1382 of the family's 1533-position model. Lineage: Bacteria; Pseudomonadati; Bacteroidota; Sphingobacteriia; Sphingobacteriales. The record is from RNAcentral.
CGGAGGAGCAUGUGGUUUAAUUCGUAUGAUACGCGAGGACCUUACCUGGGCUCGAACGUAAGAUGACUGUAGGUGAAAGCUUACAUCUCUUCGGAGCAUUUUACGAGGUGCUGCAUGGUUGUCGUCAGCUCGUGCCGUGAGGUGUCGGGUUAAGUCCCAUAACGAGCGCAACCCCUACCUUUAGUUGCCAUCAGGUUAAGCUGGGGACUCUAAAGGAACUGCCUACGCAAGUAGUGAGGAAGGCGGGGAUGACGUCAAAUCAGCACGGCCCUUACGUCCAGGGCUACACACGUGCUACAAUGGCCGAUACAGAGGGCAGCUACCUGGUGACAGGAUGCAAAUCUCCAAAGUCGGUCUCAGUUCGGAUCGGAGUCUGCAACCCGACUCCGUGAAGUUGGAUUCGCUAGUAAUCGCGCAUCAGCCAUGGCGCGGUGAAUACGUUCCCGGGCCUU